GACUACAAGGGUAUCUAAGCCUGUUUGCUCCCCACGCUUUCGUGCCUCAGCGUCAGGACAUGCCCAGCGGACCGUCUUCACCAUCGGCGUUCCUGUAGAUAUCUACGCAUUUCACCGCUCCACCUACAGUUCCGUCCGCCCCUACAUGCCUCAAGGCCGCCAGUAUGCCCUGCGAUUCCCCGGUUGAGCCGAGGGAUUUCACAGAACACUUAGCGACCCGCCUACGCACCCUUUAAGCCCAAUGAUUCCGAUUAACGCUCGAGCCCCCUGUCUUACCGCGGCUGCUGGCACAGGGUUAGCCGGCUCUUCCUUUGGGGGUGAUCAGUGUUUCUACCCCCUGACAGCAGUUUACACGGCGUAGCCGCUUCAUCCUGCACGCGGCAUUGCUCCGUCAGGCUUUCGCCCAUUGCGGAAGAUUCCUCACUGCAGCCACCCGUAGG
RNAcentral lists this ribosomal RNA (440 nucleotides) under uncultured bacterium. Its description in RNAcentral is "partial 16S ribosomal RNA". The record is from RNAcentral.